This is a long non-coding RNA of Xiphophorus maculatus (southern platyfish), 743 nucleotides long. RefSeq lists it as uncharacterized. The transcript has 2 exons. The record is from RefSeq and is a predicted model, not a curated record. Lineage: Eukaryota; Metazoa; Chordata; Actinopteri; Cyprinodontiformes; Poeciliidae.
CAGCUCGUCUUACGGUUCUGAAGCUGAAGAUCUCGACUACGCUGUCACUGAAAGACAAUAAAGAUAAAAUCGAGAAAGCGAUUAAAGAUGAACUGAUCAGACGAGGGCUGCCUCCAGACAUAAAGGUCCGCCUGCUGAGCGACGGUUCAGUGAAGAUUAAAGAAACAGCUGCCCCCUAGUGGCUAACAAUGAGAAUGAAUCUGAUCCAAAAUGUUUGUCUUGGUUUAUCUGUUUUUACUUCCUGUUCCUUCUAUGUAGGGAUUAUGGUUGCUUUAGGUAGUCGGACUAAACUUACUUAUGACAUUAAGCAAAAAUAGAGAGAAUUUCUAUUUCUGUGUGAAUUUUAAAAAAUCAUGAUACUUUCAUAAAGAAGUUAAUGAAACAGCUGCCCCCUAGUGGCUAAAUGUGAUAAUGAAUCUGUUUCAUUAAGAGAAAUGUAUCUGUUUUAAUUUUAGGGACUUGUGUUUGUUUUAGGUAGUGGACUAAACGUAGUUAAGAAAAUAAUAAUUUUUUUUCUGUGUUACAAUCUUUACAAAUUGCAGAUAAUUCCUCUUCCAUGUGUAACAUUUAUGGCUGUGGGUUUUUUAUUGACCUUUAUAUCAUAUCAUGUUCUGUGGUGGUAUUUCUGUGGAGCUCAUGAUUUUUAUGUGAUCAUUUUAUUUGCAUAUUUUGUAUGUGGAGAUUUUAUAAAUGCAUAUAGGCUGGAAAACAGUGGAGUAUAAAAUAAAAUCAAUCAAUAUUGA